AUGCCUCGAUAUGAAGUUUGCCAGAAUUUUGGAAUGAAACAAUAUCCACGCUACCGUGCAUAACAUGUACUUCAUACUGCCAUCGGGUCCUGUGAACUUGUUAUGCAGCAGGAUUAUCAGUCUGAUUUUUACGUUUGAUGUUUUGAUUGUAGGGAAAUGGUUACAACGUUGGCUUUGGGACUUGCUCCGGAAAGAUUGUUCCCUCACCUCUUUGAAGACUUUCUUCUUGGCCUUUCAAGUAAUCAGUCAAAGUACUUGUAUUCCAUUAGCAACCUCAAUUUCAUAUGUUGUUGGAGCUGUGUACCAUGUACUCUGUAAUUCACUUGGCCUUUGUUGUUUUGUAAUUCUAAACCAUGCGCAAUACAGCCGACCUUACUUAGUGGAAUAAGGCGUUGUUGUUCUGCUUUAUGAUAAUCCCCCUACUAUUUCCUGUUUACGGUUUAGUGCUCUCUCUUUCUAUACAUUUAAAUGUGGAUGUCACCGGGGGCUGAUGGACUUAGAAACCAAUGUGGUCCUUGUAAGACCCUUAAUCAUAAUCACCAAGACCAAAACAUGAACUACAACUUAGAGAGAAAUAUUCAAUUUAUGUAUCUGAGAAACACAGCAAGAAGAACAUACCUGCACUUGUAGCAGAACCCGAAGCCAUAGCAGCAAACUUUCAGUGUACCUUCUCUUCUCUCGCAGGUUAUCAAGAGCUCGACUUAUAAAUAGGAUUAAGUCCAGAAUAUGAGCAUUACCCUGUGAGAAGAGAGGCCACUAUAUAUAUACAUAUAAUCUUUACCAUAACUGAUUAGGAUUCCCUAUCAAAAUCCAUGUAGGAAACAAAUUCUUGUCUCCUUGUUCUGAUCUUCAUGCUGUACAGAAUCCCUCUUCAUAAGGGAUUAGCAUUCCUUUUAUUAACAAGACUUUUCUAUCCAAUUGAACACAUAUAGCCGGUCCUAAAACUCGUCUAUCUCAUACUCACAUUCUUACAUUCUCCCACUUGAGUAUGAGAACAGUUUUAAGUACUCAGCCAAGUCAAUUAUGUGCAGAUAGAAGUGAUCACUAAUCUUGUUAAUAAAAUUUCAAUCACAACCAGCUAUCAUACAUCUCAAAAUGCAGAACGCUUGUAACUGUAUUACCACAAUAAAGCAAACAGGUUUUCAAGAGUUACAGACAUUCAAUUUGUAUGCUCAACGUUGUGAACUUGAUCAAUAUCAGCAAUAAGCAAAAUAAUUUGCUCCCACUAUUUCAAAUCAUUGUCAGCAAGAUGUGAAACAAAUCUUUGCUUCAAAACAAUGCAUGAAUCAACAAUUCAUCACUAAAUGCUUUAAACGGAGAAACCAUUAUAAAAGCAACAAAUGAAUUAUAUCAAACUUUAUUUUGUUCGAAAUAAUAGAUCAUCAUAACUGAUCUCAAUUCAAUAAAACAAACAAAACAAACUAACAAACCUAAUACUAUCCAGCCAUAAGAUUUUAAAUUUGAAAUUUGAAACCUGUCUAUAUCACCACACCAGCUCUCUGAACUUCACAGCAGCGAAUAAACAGUCAUAAUAAGACUAACGAAUUACUCCCACUGAUCAAAGGAUUCAAGUAUUCCCAUCCGAGAGACAUGCGUUUUAAAUACUCCAAUCAGCAAUGCUUUAGUCAAAGGAUCCGCAAUCAUUGCUUUUGUGCUUAAGUGCUCCACCUGAAUUGCUCCUUCUCAAACCUUUUCUCGGACCUUGAGGAAUUUUACAUCCAUCAGUCUUGAAGCUGAAGUUCUCUUAUUGUUCUUGCUAAAAAAUACUGCAGAAUUGUUAUCACAAUACAUCAUGAUAGGCCUUUGCACAGAAUUUACAACUUUCAAAUCUGUCACAAAGUUUUUCAACCAUACAGCUUGUUUCAUUCCUUCAAAACAAGCUAUAAAUUCUGCCUCCAUUGUCGAUGUUGCGAUGAUAGUCUGUUUUGCACUUUUCCAGGAGACUGCACCACCACUUAGCAUAAAGAUAUAACCUCCAGUAGAUUUCCUAUCAUCUACAUCACCGGCUAAAUCAGAAUCAGUGUAUCCAACUAACUCCAAUAGCUCAUUCCUGCCAUAAACCAACAUAUAGUUCUUGGUUCUUUGCAAGUAUCUCAAAACUUUCUUUGCUGCUACCCAAUGUGUCUCUCCUGGAUUUGCUUGAAACCUGCCCAAUAUUCCAACUAUAAAAGCAAUGUCCGGUCUUGUGCAAAUAGUGGUAUACAUCAAACUUCCCACUAAUGAAGCAUAAGGCUUAUUCUUCAUUUUAUCUAUCUCCAUAGGCGUCUUAGGACAUUGAGCCUUUGAGAAUCUGUCUCCCUUGUUUACUGGCACUUCACCAUUACUGCAGCUUGACAUAUUGAACCUCAUGAGUACCCUUUCUAUGUAUCCCUUUUGUGAUAAACCGAGUAAAUUUCUUGAUCUAUCUCGAACAAUUUCAAUACCAAGUACAUAGUGUGCUUCACCAAGGUCCUUCAUUUCAAAAUUCUUACUGAGCAUGGUCUUAGUGUCUUUGAGCAGCUUCAUGUUAGAACUGGCAAGGAGGAUGUCAUCGACAUAUAACACUAAAAAUAUAAAACUAGUGCCUGAAAACUUAACAUAGAUGCAAUCAUCUAAUUUGUUUUUUCACAAAACCUUGUCCUGUAACUACUUUAUCAAACUUUAAGAACCAUUGUCUUGAUGCCUGUUUAAGCCCGUAGAUUGACUUGUUAAGUUUACAAACCAUGUCUUCUUUCCCCUUUUCAACAAAUCCAGGAGGCUGCUUCAUGUAAAUGUCUUCGGCCAGUUCACCAUUAAGAAAGGCAGUUUUGACAUCCAUUUGAUGCAGUUCCAGAUUGUAAUGAGCCACAAGUGCCAUGAUAACCCUCAUAGAAUCCUUGGAAGAGACGGGAGAAAAGGUGUCAUUGUAAUCCACCCCUUCCCUCUGAGUGAAUCCUUUUGCAACUAACCUUGCCUUGUACCGUUCAAUAUUGCCGUGAGCAUCUCUUUUGGUUUUAUAAACCCAUUUACACCCAAUAGCCUUGAAUUGAGGAUUGGAAUCCACUAAUGUCCAUACUGAGUUUUUUGACAUCGACUCCAAUUCCUCCUUCAUUACACUGUGCCACAAUGAUUGUUGAGAACUAUUCAUGGCCUGAGAAUAAGUGAGAGGGUCAUCUAUAUCACCAAAAUCAAACUCAUGCUCCUGCAAAUAAACAUAGUCAUUUGACAUUGUGGUUUUUCUGAUUCUUGAAGAUUGUCUCAAUGGUAAUGACGGAUCAUGGAGAACUUCAGUGCUCGGAUUCAUUGGUGCAUCAUCAGUUGGAGUUGGAUCCUCUUGUUGCUGUGGUUGGGACCCAAGAUCAAUUUCCAUUCUGUCAAUAUCUUCUGGACAGUCUAAUUGUUCUUCCUCCAAUUCAAUCAUGGAAGCAGGAGUGAUCAACAUUUCUUUGUAAGAAUUACUGCAAAAGGACUUCUCAUUUUGAUCAAUCUCUUCAAAAAUGAACCUGCCCUGUGAUAAGUCUGCAAUAUCUUGAUCUUCAAAGAACCUAGCAUUGUGAGUUUCAUGAAUCCUGGUGUGAGCUUGAGGACAAUAAAACUUGAAGCCUUUAGAUUUCUCUGAGUAGCCAAUGAAAUAGCAUGAUUCUGUCCUUGAGUCCAAUUUCUUCUCAUUUGGAUUGUAAAUUCUAGCCUCAGCUUUACAUCCCCAAACAUGGAAAUGACUAAAACUGGGCUUCCUGCCAUUCCAGAUUUCAAAAGGUGUUGAUGAAACCGCUUUGCUCGGAACUCUGUUCAGUAUAUAAGUUGCUGUCUUCAAUGCUUCACCCCAUAGGAAUCCUGGUAACUUUGAUCUUGUCAUCAUGCUUCUUACCAUUCCAAUCAGAGUUCGAUUCCUCCUUUCUGAAACUCCGUUUUGCUGUGGUGUUCCUGGUGUAGUGUAUUGAGCAACAAUGCCUUGUUGUUCAAGAUAGAGCGCAAACGGACCUUUGUGUUGUCCAGCCUCACUGUACCUGCCAUGUACUCUGUAAUUCACUUGGCCUUUGUUGUUUUGUAAUUCUAAACCAUGCGCAAUACAGCCGACCUUACUUAGUGGAAUAAGGCGUUGUUGUUCUGCUUUAUGAUAAUCCCCCUACUAUUUCCUGUUUACGGUUUAGUGCUCUCUCUUUCUAUACAUUUAAAUGUGGAUGUCACCGGGGGCUGAUGGACUUAGAAACCAAUGUGGUCCUAUGACCACUCGACGUUCAAGAAAUAUACAUGUAUAGGUCUUUCAAGGACCAUUCGAAUAUUUGAUACGGGUCCUUUUUGUGCCUACAAAGUGUUUCACAUAAUGUCUGCUAGGUAUAUGUCAACAAGUUGUGUUGACAACACUCAACAAAUUCUUUUUAUAUCACUUAUCAGAUUAUUUUGGCAUAUGUUGAUAUAUGUUGACAUAUGCAUGACUUGAUUUGGCUGAUAACAAUAAGUUCAUCAAGUGUACGACGAAAUCUUUGUGAAUGAACUAAAAUAAUUUUGUGGUGGCCUGUUUUUAUCCAAAAUCUUGUAUUUAACACUAGAAUUCUCUAAGAUUCGAAUCUUAAAUCCGCCCUGUGAUGUCACCAAUGGCAUUGAUCAGUAGCUUGAUUGAAAAAUAUGAGAUAGGUUAUUAGCUCGAGACGUCACCGCAACAUAUCUAGCUGUGCAUGUACUGUGAGAUUAAAGAUGCUUUCGCCGAAAAGCGUUUCUUCCAAAAAUGAGAGGGUGGC
RNAcentral lists this long non-coding RNA (4697 nucleotides) under Malus domestica (apple). RNAcentral describes it as "long non-coding RNA (MDOM_LNC009773)". Lineage: Eukaryota; Viridiplantae; Streptophyta; Magnoliopsida; Rosales; Rosaceae. The record is from RNAcentral.